RNAcentral lists this small RNA (112 nucleotides) under Marmota monax (woodchuck). Lineage: Eukaryota; Metazoa; Chordata; Mammalia; Rodentia; Sciuridae. The record is from RNAcentral.
GUUGGGCACAGUGGUGCGUGCCUGUAACCUUAGCUACUACAGAGGCUGAGGCAGGAGGAUUGCAAUUUGAGGCCAGUCUCAAGGCCAGAAGCCUAGUGAGAUCUUGUCUAAA